CCUGGCUCAGAGCGAACGCUGGCGGCAGGCUUAACACAUGCAAGUCGAGCGGGCGUAGCAAUACGUCAGCGGCAGACGGGUGAGUAACGCGUGGGAACGUACCUUUUGGUUCGGAACAACACAGGGAAACUUGUGCUAAUACCGGAUAAGCCCUUACGGGGAAAGAUUUAUCGCCGAAAGAUCGGCCCGCGUCUGAUUAGCUAGUUGGUGAGGUAAUGGCUCACCAAGGCGACGAUCAGUAGCUGGUYUGAGAGGAUGAUCAGCCACAUUGGGACUGAGACACGGCCCAAACUCCUACGGGAGGCAGCAGUGGGGAAUAUUGGACAAUGGGGGCAACCCUGAUCCAGCCAUGCCGCGUGAGUGAUGAAGGCCCUAGGGUUGUAAAGCUCUUUUGUGCGGGAAGAUA
RNAcentral lists this ribosomal RNA (406 nucleotides) under Bradyrhizobium sp. R-46016. RNAcentral's name for it is "bacterial SSU rRNA". It matches the Rfam family "Bacterial small subunit ribosomal RNA", at positions 18 to 450 of the family's 1533-position model. Lineage: Bacteria; Pseudomonadati; Pseudomonadota; Alphaproteobacteria; Hyphomicrobiales; Nitrobacteraceae. The record is from RNAcentral.